UAUAGUGAUUAUAGCAAUCCCCAGAGUGAAUAUAGCUCUCCAAUCUCCCAAACAUGAGCCUAGACUUCAUGAAGGGUAAAACAAAUCUCUUUAAUGGCAACCACAACUGGGCACUCUCUCCUGGACCUGAGAGUAGACUACAGUAAAAACAUACACACAAUUACAUUGGCUCUCAGGUCCAGGACACUCCCAUACAAAAUAGGUCAAUCCCUCCCCUGUGCCUGGAAGAUAUUUGAGUCA
Pelobates cultripes (western spadefoot toad) is the source of this 240-nucleotide non-coding RNA. NCBI's taxonomy places the organism in Eukaryota, Metazoa, Chordata, Amphibia, Anura, Pelobatidae. The record is from the annotation of a GenBank genome assembly.